This 253-nucleotide ribosomal RNA is filed under the name uncultured bacterium. Its description in RNAcentral is "partial 16S ribosomal RNA". It matches the Rfam family "Bacterial small subunit ribosomal RNA", at positions 524 to 776 of the family's 1533-position model. The record is from RNAcentral.
UACAGAGGUGGCAAGCGUUGUUCGGAAUUACUGGGCGUAAAGGGCGCGUAGGCGGUCUUUUAAGUCUUGUGUGAAAUCCCUCGGCUCAACUGAGGAACUGCACGGGAUACUGGAAGACUUGAGUUCGGGAGAGGGAAGCGGAAUUCCGGGUGUAGCGGUGAAAUGCGUAGAUAUCUGGAGGAACACCGGUGGCGAAGGCGGCAUCCUGGACCAAUAUUGACGCUGAGGAGCGAAAGCCAGGGGAGCAAACGGG